Molecule: small RNA, 131 nt
Filed under: Citrobacter sp. Cy070
Lineage: Bacteria; Pseudomonadati; Pseudomonadota; Gammaproteobacteria; Enterobacterales; Enterobacteriaceae
Description: RtT sRNA
Rfam family: RtT RNA
About the family: This family represents a bacterial cis-regulatory element known as RtT RNA. The exact function of RtT is unknown although it is thought that it may be involved in changing the cellular response in relation to amino acid starvation.
Source: RNAcentral
UAUUCUACCCAGCCGGGAAGGAUGAGAAGCUUCGACUAAGGUUCGAUUCGAGCGUAGCGAGAAAGCGUUGCCGCAGGCAACGACCCGAAGGGCGAAGCGCGCAGCGCUGAGUCAUCCUUCCCCCACCACCA